This 500-nucleotide long non-coding RNA is filed under the name Elaeis guineensis (African oil palm). RNAcentral describes it as "long non-coding RNA (EGUI_LNC044003)". The record is from RNAcentral. Lineage: Eukaryota; Viridiplantae; Streptophyta; Magnoliopsida; Arecales; Arecaceae.
AGUGAUAGAAAUUGUGUCCUAAAACCAAUCAUGUGAUGGUUGAGUUCAUCCUUGUAUAUGAAUUAUUAAUUAUUGAAUAAAAAUUAUUUUAAUAUUUUUUAUCAUAAAGUGACAUCUUUCUUGAACUCUUGUACUGUGAUGAAGUCCUUAAAACUAUGCUAGUGUACGAUAAAGAGAAGAUUUAUCGUAUAGUUCUUAAAUAUGUUCGCGAUCAAAUGAUACAUUAUUACAAGAUGAUGACAUUUAUCGAGUAGAGGUCAUUGUGUGCCAUAUGGAUUGGUUAUCCUCUUAACCAAAGAGUGUGGUGACACUGGUAUAGCAUACAGGUGAGAUGUAAGAAUACAUCAUCACUGAACAAGUGACUCACCUGCUAAGCAUUCUGUUAUCAAGAGCUACUCACGAAACACAUAGAUAUAAGUGUCCUUCAGACCUGAGAUCACUAUAGUGACUUGCAAGCAACUCACUAUACUUUAGUGCCGGACUAUCUAAAUUUCUAAUGC